Molecule: ribosomal RNA, 492 nt
Filed under: uncultured bacterium
Lineage: Bacteria
Description: partial 16S ribosomal RNA
Rfam family: Bacterial small subunit ribosomal RNA
Source: RNAcentral
AUUGAACGCUGGCGGCAUGCUUUACACAUGCAAGUCGAACGGUAACAGGCCUUCGGGUGCUGACGAGUGGCGAACGGGUGAGUAAUGCAUCGGAACGUACCCAGAGGUGGGGGAUAACGCAGCGAAAGCUGUGCUAAUACCGCAUGUGAUCUGAGGAUGACAGCGGGGGACCGCGCAGCAAUGUUUGGCCUCGCGCCUUUGGAGCGGCCGAUGUCGGAUUAGCUAGUUGGUGGGGUAAAGGCCUACCAAGGCGACGAUCCGUAGCUGGUCUGAGAGGAAGAACAGCCCACCUGGGACCGGAGACCGGGCCCGACCCCUACGGGAGGGGGCAGGGGGGAAUUUUGGACAAUGGGGGCAAGCCUGAUCCAGACAAGCCGGGGGGGGGAAGAAGGCCUUCGGGUUUGAAAACCCUUUUGGGGGGAAAGAAAAGGGUGUCCUUAAAACCCGGGGGUUAAGGCGGGACCCAAAGAAAAAGCAACGGGUAAAUUCGGG